This 65-nucleotide transfer RNA is filed under the name bovine gut metagenome. It matches the Rfam family "tRNA", at positions 6 to 65 of the family's 71-position model. Rfam says of the family: Transfer RNA (tRNA) molecules are approximately 80 nucleotides in length. Their secondary structure includes four short double-helical elements and three loops (D, anti-codon, and T loops). The record is from RNAcentral.
AGUAGCUCAGUAGGACAGAGCGUUGGAUUCCUAAUCCGAAGGUCGCGGGUUCGACCCCCGCCUGG